GCGGCAGGCCUAACACAUGUCAAGUCGAGCGGAAACGAGUUAUCUGAACCUUCGGGGAACGAUAACGGCGUCGAGCGGCGGACGGGUGAGUAAUGCCUAGGGAAUUGCCCUGAUGUGGGGGAUAACCAUUGGAAACGAUGGCUAAUACCGCAUAACGUCUACGGGCCAAAGAGGGGGACCUUCGGGCCUCUCGCGUCAGGAUAUGCCUAGGUGGGAUUAGCUAGUUGGUGAGGUAAGGGCUCACCAAGGCGACGAUCCCUAGCUGGUCUGAGAGGAUGAUCAGCCACACUGGAACUGAGACACGGUCCAGACUCCUACGGGGGGCAGCAGUGGGGAAUAUUGCACAAUGGGCGCAAGCCUGAUGCAGCCAUGCCGCGUGUGUGAAGAAGGCCUUCGGGUUGUAAAGCACUUUCAGUCGUGAGGAAGGUAGUGCAGUUAAUAGCUGCAUUAUUUGACGUUAGCGACAGAAGAAGCACCGGCUAACUCCGUGCCAGCAGCCGCGGUAAUACGGAGGGUGCGAGCGUUAAUCGGAAUUACUGGGCGUAAAGCGCAUGCAGGUGGUUUGUUAAGUCAGAUGUGAAAGCCCGGGGCUCAACCUCGGAAUUGCAUUUGAAACUGGCAGACUAGAGUACUGUAGAGGGGGGUAGAAUUUCAGGUGUAGCGGUGAAAUGCGUAGAGAUCUGAAGGAAUACCGGUGGCGAAGGCGGCCCCCUGGACAGAUACUGACACUCAGAUGCGAAAGCGUGGGGAGCAAACAGGAUUAGAUACCCUGGUAGUCCACGCCGUAAACGAUGUCUACUUGGAGGUUGUGGCCUUGAGCCGUGGCUUUCGGAGCUAACGCGUUAAGUAGACCGCCUGGGGAGUACGGUCGCAAGAUUAAAACUCAAAUGAAUUGACGGGGGCCCGCACAAGCGGUGGAGCAUGUGGUUUAAUUCGAUGCAACGCGAAGAACCUUACCUACUCUUGACAUCCAGAGAACUUUCCAGAGAUGGAUUGGUGCCUUCGGGAACUCUGAGACAGGUGCUGCAUGGCUGUCGUCAGCUCGUGUUGUGAAAUGUUGGGUUAAGUCCCGCAACGAGCGCAACCCUUAUCCUUGUUUGCCAGCGAGUAAUGUCGG
This 1117-nucleotide ribosomal RNA is filed under the name uncultured Gammaproteobacteria bacterium. RNAcentral describes it as "bacterial SSU rRNA". It matches the Rfam family "Bacterial small subunit ribosomal RNA", at positions 39 to 1134 of the family's 1533-position model. The record is from RNAcentral. Lineage: Bacteria; Pseudomonadati; Pseudomonadota; Gammaproteobacteria. RNAcentral also lists the same sequence under 1 other name.